AGGGAGCUUGCUCCCGGAUGUUAGCGGCGGACGGGUGAGUAACACGUGGGUAACCUGCCUGUAAGACUGGGAUAACUCCGGGAAACCGGAGCUAAUACCGGAUAGUUCCUUGAACCGCAUGGUUCAAGGAUGAAAGACGGUUUCGGCUGUCACUUACAGAUGGACCCGCGGCGCAUUAGCUAGUUGGUGAGGUAACGGCUCACCAAGGCGACGAUGCGUAGCCGACCUGAGAGGGUGAUCGGCCACACUGGGACUGAGACACGGCCCAGACUCCUACGGGAGGCAGCAGUAGGGAAUCUUCCGCAAUGGACGAAAGUCUGACGGAGCAACGCCGCGUGAGUGAUGAAGGUUUUCGGAUCGUAAAGCUCUGUUGUUAGGGAAGAACAAGUGCAAGAGUAACUGCUUGCACCUUGACGGUACCUAACCAGAAAGCCACGGCUAACUACGUGCCAGCAGCCGCGGUAAUACGUAGGUGGCAAGCGUUGUCCGGAAUUAUUGGGCGUAAAGGGCUCGCAGGCGGUUUCUUAAGUCUGAUGUGAAAGCCCCCGGCUCAACCGGGGAGGGUCAUUGGAAACUGGGAAACUUGAGUGCAGAAGAGGAGAGUGGAAUUCCACGUGUAGCGGUGAAAUGCGUAGAGAUGUGGAGGAACACCAGUGGCGAAGGCGACUCUCUGGUCUGUAACUGACGCUGAGGAGCGAAAGCGUGGGGAGCGAACAGGAUUAGAUACCCUGGUAGUCCACGCCGUAAACGAUGAGUGCUAAGUGUUAGGGGGUUUCCGCCCCUUAGUGCUGCAGCUAACGCAUUAAGCACUCCGCCUGGGGAGUACGGUCGCAAGACUGAAACUCAAAGGAAUUGACGGGGGCCCGCACAAGCGGUGGAGCAUGUGGUUUAAUUCGAAGCAACGCGAAGAACCUUACCAGGUCUUGACAUCCUCUGACAACCCUAGAGAUAGGGCUUUCCCUUCGGGGACAGAGUGACAGGUGGUGCAUGGUUGUCGUCAGCUCGUGUCGUGAGAUGUUGGGUUAAGUCCCGCAACGAGCGCAACCCUUGAUCUUAGUUGCCAGCAUUCAGUUGGGCACUCUAAGGUGACUGCCGGUGACAAACCGGAGGAAGGUGGGGAUGACGUCAAAUCAUCAUGCCCCUUA
Molecule: ribosomal RNA, 1145 nt
Filed under: Bacillus sp. (in: firmicutes)
Lineage: Bacteria; Bacillati; Bacillota; Bacilli; Caryophanales; Bacillaceae
Description: bacterial SSU rRNA
Rfam family: Bacterial small subunit ribosomal RNA
Source: RNAcentral